GGCGCGCGCAGUCCGUCGGCGCCGCGCGGAGAAGGCAGCGUCGCCGCCGCCGGACCCGAGGACCCGAGGACCCCCGCCCCCGCCCGCCGCGUCGCCAUGGCCUGCCGGCCGCGAAGCCCCUCCGGGUGCGGGAGCCGCCGCGACGGCGACGCCAGCCCGCCGCCCCCCGCGAGAUGGAGCCUGGGACGCAAGCGCACGGCCGACGGGAGGCGCCGGAAGCCGGAGGACGCCGAGGGCCCCGCGAGGCCGGCGGGCGGCCGCAGACCCGACAGCUUCACCACCCCCGAAGGCCCUCAGCCCCGUUCUCGAUGCUCCGACUGGGCGAGCGCCGUGGAGGAGGAUGAGAUGAGGACUCGGGUGAGCCAGGAAAUCGCGAGGUAUAAGAGGAAACUCCUCGUCAAUGACUUUGGAAGAGAGAGGAAAUCCUCAUCAGGAAGUUCCGACUCGAAGGAGUCUCUGUCUGCGCUGCCAGCUGACCUGGAGACUGACGAGAGCGUCCUGAUGCGGAGACAGAAGCAGAUCAACUACGGGAAGAACACCAUCGCCUACGACCGCUACAUCAAGGAAGUCCCAAGGCACCUCCGACAACCUGGCGUUCAUCCCAGGACUCCCAACAAGUUCAAGAAGUACAGUCGACGAUCGUGGGACCAGCAGAUCAAACUGUGGAAGGUGGCGCUGCAUUUCUGGGACCCUCCAGCUGCCGAAGGGUGUGACUUGGAAGAAAUGUAUGUCUGUACUGCAUUCUCCUCCCGCUCCUGCAGCUCCUGCAGUGACUGCAGAGGCCUUGUCACUUGGUCGUGGCGGGUUGUCCUGGCACAGUGUCCACCUGGAUGUUCUGGGGGAGCAGAGCAGCCAGUGGUCACAGUUUCAUGUCCCUUUUCUCUGCACAAGUGUGUGAAGCCUGGGCUCUGGGCGGGCUCGGGGGAGGAGGGUGCUUCCUGGGUUGAAUUCACUUUGCAGCUGGGGAAAUUGAUUGCAAUAAACCUAGAGAUAUGUGGGGGUUCUGUUUGUUCCUAAGAUAAACUUUUUUUUUGUCUUUUGAGGGCUGCACCACAGCACAUGGAAGUUCCCAGCCUAGAGGUCGAAUCGGAGCUGGGCCUACGCCACAGCCACAGCCACAGCCACAUGGGAUCCAAGCCACAUCUGCCAUCUACACCACAGUUCACAGCAAUACCGGAUCCUUAACCCACUGAGCAGGGCCAGGGAUUGAACCUGCGUCUCAUGAAUACUAGUUGGGCUAUGACUGUUAAGCCAAAAUGGGAACUCCCAGCUUUUAUCUCUUUAAGCUGCAUCUAGUUGGGAAGAUCUCAGGCUUGUUUCUGCCACGUGGUCAGGGUGCUGGGUGGACACAGAGGCAGAGAGAGCCUGGGCUCUGCAGCCUCUCUUCUCAACUCCCUUUUGGCUGCGCCUGUGGCCUAUGGGGGGACCUGAGUCAGGGAUUGAAUCUGAACUCCACCUGGCCACAGCCGCAGCAGCGCUGGGUCCUUAACCCACCGUACUGGGCUGGGGGUUGAACCUGCACCGCCACAGAGACAAGGCGGGAUCGUUAACCUGCUGUGUCACAGUGGGAGCUGUGGCUGCCGGCUUACACCCCCAGCUCCCUUCUGACCCAAACCUCUCUCUCCCUCACAGACACGUUUAUUCUCGUGAAUGUGUGAGUUUUGCUCUGUGCCAGGGAAAUUUACUGGGAAACUUUUUUUUUUUUUUUUUUUUUUUUGGUCUUUAGGGCCACACCCACCGCACAUGGAGGUUCCAGGCUAGGGGUCGAAUUGGAGCUGUAGCCGCCGGCCUGCACCACAGCCACAGCAAUGCGGGAUCUGAGCCGCGUCUGUGACCUACAUACACCACAGCUCACAGUAACGUCGGAUCUCUAACCCUCUGAGUGAGGCCAGGGAUUGAACCCACAACCUCCUGGUUCCUAGUCGGAUUCAUUAACCACUGAGCCACGACGGGAACUCCAGCAACUGUCAUGUUGAAACAGCGUCCAACCUGUUCUCAGACUUGGGCUCGCCAGCGUCACUCGCUCUUGUCCAGCUUGUCCCUCUUCCCGUCUCCUCAUGCGGAGGGAGUUGGAAGCAUCAGCGACUGUGUGUGGUGUGGUUUCUCAGUGUUCUUCUCCCCCCACACUUACUGUUUAUGCUUCCGCUCCCAAGGAUGCUCGUGGGCGCCUGUGGGUCGCCGCUGCCGUCGAGGACGGGCAGGUUGCUGUCUGCUCUGGGCCUCCUGCCUGCAGUAACUGCUGCCGCCUUGCCUCUCCUCUGGGUGGCCCGGGCAGGGCUGAGUCUGGACGUGGGUGUCGCUGGGGCCUGUGGUCCCUCGGGGAGCUAGGAGGUGCUUGGCGGGGGGUGUCGGGCAGCGAGGCUUUGGUGCGCUGGUUUGCGGAGGGUGGGCCUGCCUGGCUCUGCUGACGUGCCUGCUUUCUCUGCGCAGACAUCCCGUGGACCUCGGGGAGAUGGAGACGGACUCGGCGGGAAGCAGCUCCGAGUCCCAGGCGAGCUCGCAGGAUAACCUGGACGUGUACUGUGGCACACCCACCAAGGUCAGACACGUGGACUGCCCGCUGGAGGAUGAGUUCGACUUGGAAGCGUGUUUAACGGAGCCCCUGAAAGACUUCUCGGCCAUGAGCUAACCGGUGCCCCCGGAAGCCCCUGGGAGCCGGGCUGCCCCGCUCCCUGCCCAGGAGGAGGCCGGCGAGGCGCCCUGCAUCUGGAACCCGUUGUUUCCUGUUAAUAGUAUUGUCUCACGUGGAUUGCUGUUCUUGCCUUAUUUUCUUGAGAAAAUUAAUUUUACGUAUAGGGAGUGUAUUUUGCAUGUUUUAAAUUGAAGAUGGAACUGAAUUCAAGGAACAUUAAACUUGAGGCCGUCUUGUGACAGCCGUAAUGGCUCAGUCUCCUCCAUCCUUCAGCUGAACCCACAGGCAUCCCUCACCUGGUUUUCCGCAAGUGUUUCGGGUAUUAAGUUGCUCUUCGUCAGAGGGCUGGUUUGGGUUUAACAUGUGUUCUCGGGACCGAUCUAGCUUCAGCUUUCCUUUCGGGUGUCUGAGGAUCAUAAUCAGAUUCAUUUCUGGCUGUUUGUCAGUAUGUCAGGGCUGGUUUUUUCCUCACACAGCACCGAAUAGUCAGGUAUGAGCUUGAGCUGGUACGUUAAUGGGUUUUAUGUAAGUUUUACAGUCUUCAUCUGCUACUUGUAAAUAGUGCUGGGUAGGCCUUCUACCUGUAAUACUCCAAGAGGUCAGGCAGCAGAGGGGCUUAGAAAGAACUUUUUUUUUUUACAAUCAGUUAAUUUACAUGUAAAAUUGCUGUAAAUGAUAAUGUGUACAGAUUUUCUGUUCUGAUACUCAAUUGUAAACUUCUUGUUAAGACUGUUAUGUUUCUGUUGCUUUUGUAUGGAAUGACAUUGCGAAAAUAAAAGGGACCUUUAACUGA
Molecule: non-coding RNA, 3425 nt
Organism: Sus scrofa (pig)
Lineage: Eukaryota; Metazoa; Chordata; Mammalia; Artiodactyla; Suidae
Source: RefSeq, a predicted model, not a curated record